This 636-nucleotide unclassified non-coding RNA is filed under the name Hevea brasiliensis (rubber tree). The record is from RNAcentral. Lineage: Eukaryota; Viridiplantae; Streptophyta; Magnoliopsida; Malpighiales; Euphorbiaceae.
GUGUGGUUUGAUGAUAGAACAGCAAAUGCAAUUUGUAUGGCAUGUUUUCAUUCAUCAUCCAGGAUCAUGAUUGCUGCUCUAUCAUUUCUUCUGAAUUAUGAGAAGAUUGANNNNNNNNNNNNNUGCUUCCAGCAGUGAAGAUGACUCAAAUCCUCAAAUGUCUCAAGUUGUCCUUAGUAAAGAGGCUAUUUAUAAGGCACAUCAUAAAGGCACAGUAUCCAGUAAAAAGAAAAAGAAAGCAAAACUGCAGCGUGCCAUGCGCAGCAUGAAAAGGCAGCAACGCCUGUCGGCAGAAAACAGUGGUUCAAGUUAUUAUUCACCACUUAAUCAUCUUAAAGAUGCACAGGGAUUUGCUGAGAGGUUAUUCUCUCGCCUCCAGACUUGCAAUGAACGUUUUGNNNNNNNNNNAUGUUGAAACUAAUUGCUCGAACUGUUGGACUUCACCGAUUGAUGUUGUUAAAUUUUUAUCCUUUUCUUCAGAAAUAUGUUCAGCCACAUCAACGUGAUAUCACAAAUUUACUUNNNNUCAGGCAUGCCACAAUAUGGUGCCUCCAGAUGCAGUUGAACCAUUAUUCAAACAAAUCGUGAAUCAAUUUGUGCAUGACCGUUCACGUCCAGAGGCUAUUGCUGUUGGGC